CAGGUUUACCUGUGUGACUGCGUACCUUUUGUAUAAUGGGUCAGCGACUUAUAUUCUGUAGCAAGGUUAACCGUAUAGGGGAGCCGCAGGGAAACCGAGUCUUAAUUGGGCGUUAAGUUGCAGGGUAUAGACCCGAAACCCGGUGAUCUAGCCAUGGGCAGGUUGAAGGUUGGGUAACACUAACUGGAGGACCGAACCGACUAAUGUUGAAAAAUUAGCGGAUGACCUGUGGCUGGGGGUGAAAGGCCAAUCAAACCGGGAGAUAGCUGGUUCUCCCCGAAAGCUAUUUAGGUAGCGCCUCGUGAAUUCAUCUCCGGGGGUAGAGCACUGUUUCGGCUAGGGGGCCAUCCCGGCUUACCAACCCGAUGCAAACUGCGAAUACCGGAGAAUGUUAUCACGGGAGACACACGGCGGGUGCUAACGUCCGUCGUGAAGAGGGAAACAACCCAGACCGCCAGCUAAGGUCCCAAAGUCAUGGUUAAGUGGGAAACGAUGUGGGAAGGCCCAGACAGCCAGGAUGUUGGCUUAGAAGCAGCCAUCAUUUAAAGAAAGCGUAAUAGCUCACUGGUCGAGUCGGCCUGCGCGGAAGAUGUAACGGGGCUAAACCAUGCACCGAAGCUGCGGCAGCGACGCUGAUGCGUUGUUGGGUAGGGGAGCGUUCUGUAAGCCUGCGAAGGUGGCCUGUGAGGGUUGCUGGAGGUAUCAGAAGUGCGAAUGCUGACAUAAGUAACGAUAAAGCGGGUGAAAAGCCCGCUCGCCGGAAGACCAAGGGUUCCUGUCCAACGUUAAUCGGGGCAGGGUGAGUCGACCCCUAAGGCGAGGCCGAAAGGCGUAGUCGAUGGGAAACGGGUUAAUAUUCCCGUACUUGGUGUUACUGCGAAGGGGGGACGGAGAAGGCUAUGUUGGCCGGGCGACGGUUGUCCCGGUUUAAGCGUGUAGGUGUGUGUUCCAGGUAAAUCCGGUUCACUUUAACACUGAGGCGUGACGACGAGGCACUACGGUGCUGAAGCAACAAAUGCCCUGCUUCCAGGAAAAGCCUCUAAGCAUCAGGUAACAUCAAAUCGUACCCCAAACCGACACAGGUGGUCAGGUAGAGAAUACCAAGGCGCUUGAGAGAACUCGGGUGAAGGAACUAGGCAAAAUGGUGCCGUAACUUCGGGAGAAGGCACGCUGACACGUAGGUGAAGUGAUUUACUCAUGGAGCUGAAGUCAGUCGAAGAUACCAGCUGGCUGCAACUGUUUAUUAAAAACACAGCACUGUGCAAACACGAAAGUGGACGUAUACGGUGUGACGCCUGCCCGGUGCCGGAAGGUUAAUUGAUGGGGUCAGCGCAAGCGAAGCUCCUGAUCGAAGCCCCGGUAAACGGCGGCCGUAACUAUAACGGUCCUAAGGUAGCGAAAUUCCUUGUCGGGUAAGUUCCGACCUGCACGAAUGGCGUAAUGAUGGCCAGGCUGUCUCCACCCGAGACUCAGUGAAAUUGAACUCGCUGUGAAGAUGCAGUGUACCCGCGGCAAGACGGAAAGACCCCGUGAACCUUUACUAUAGCUUGACACUGAACAUUGAGCCUUGAUGUGUAGGAUAGGUGGGAGGCUUUGAAGUGUGGACGCCAGUCUGCAUGGAGCCGACCUUGAAAUACCACCCUUUAAUGUUUGAUGUUCUAACGUGGACCCGUUACCCGGGUUGCGGACAGUGUCUGGUGGGUAGUUUGACUGGGGCGGUCUCCUCCUAAAGAGUAACGGAGGAGCACGAAGGUUGGCUAAUCCUGGUCGGACAUCAGGAGGUUAGUGCAAUGGCAUAAGCCAGCUUGACUGCGAGCGUGACGGCGCGAGCAGGUGCGAAAGCAGGUCAUAGUGAUCCGGUGGUUCUGAAUGGAAGGGCCAUCGCUCAACGGAUAAAAGGUACUCCGGGGAUAACAGGCUGAUACCGCCCAAGAGUUCAUAUCGACGGCGGUGUUUGGCACCUCGAUGUCGGCUCAUCACAUCCUGGGGCUGAAGUAGGUCCCAAGGGUAUGGCUGUUCGCCAUUUAAAGUGGUACGCGAGCUGGGUUUAGAACGUCGUGAGACAGUUCGGUCCCUA
RNAcentral lists this ribosomal RNA (2077 nucleotides) under Salmonella enterica subsp. enterica serovar Durham. Its description in RNAcentral is "partial 23S ribosomal RNA". It matches the Rfam family "Bacterial large subunit ribosomal RNA", at positions 580 to 2640 of the family's 2925-position model. Lineage: Bacteria; Pseudomonadati; Pseudomonadota; Gammaproteobacteria; Enterobacterales; Enterobacteriaceae. The record is from RNAcentral.